GUCUACGGCCAUGCUACCCUGAACAAGCCUGAUCUUGUCUGAUCCUGGAAGCUAAGCGGGGUUGGGCCUGGUUAGUACUUGGAUGAGAGACCACCUAGGAAGACUAGGUGCUGUAGGCA
This 119-nucleotide ribosomal RNA is filed under the name Pteropus alecto (black flying fox). Lineage: Eukaryota; Metazoa; Chordata; Mammalia; Chiroptera; Pteropodidae. The record is from RNAcentral.